UGAAUAGAGUGCAUUUAGUUGGUUUUAAUUUUAGGUUGUAUUGUCUAAAUCUUUCAAAUGCUUUUCUGAGGUUUUCUAAUGAUUCAGAGAAAUUUUUGCCUAAGACUAUGAUGUCAUCUAGGUAAACUAAAAGUUCUUCCCAAGUCAUACCUCUCAAGACUAGUCCCAUUGCCCUUUGAAAGGUUGCGGGGGCAUUACACAACCCGAAAGCCAUUCUUUGGUGUUCAAAGAGGCCAUAUUUAGUCAAAAAAGCUGUUUUCUGUUUGCUAUUUUCCUCAAUUUCAAUUUGAUAAUAGCCCAUGGCUAAAUCCAAAGUACUAAAGAAUUUGGUGCCAUACAGAACAUCCAUACAGUCAGAAAUAAGGGGUAGUGGAUAGCAAUCUUUAACAGUCCUAGCAUUUAGAUCUCUAAAAUCUAUGCAAUAUCUGACACUACCAUCUUUUUUCUUGAUUAAAACUGGAGCAGAUGCCCACUCAGAAGAAGAUGGGGUAAUGACUCCUGCAUCUAAUAAUUUCUAGUCUCACCUUUACCAAGAACUGAAGAACACAAAAAUUCUGGAGAACUAAAGGGUUCUACUAUGAAAUUGGUGUCAAGGGGCCUACUUAGAGAACAAUUUACAAACCCCACUGAAUUUGCUGGUAUGAUAGAUCUACUUUGAACAGUUACCCUUGCAACCUUGAUUUGUUCACCUUGUAUGUUCUUUAUAUUUGCUGUUAUUGUUUGCUUCCCAAUUUCUAAAACAUUUUUCCUGAGGUCAAUGACACAAUGGUUGGCCUCUAAAAAGUCUAACCCCAAAAUUACUGUAUCUUUCAUGUCAACUGCACACAUAUCAAUAGAAUAUGAUUGAGAUCCUAUCUGACACGAGACAUUUUUGUACAGUUGCCCUGUUAUUUCAUGUCCACCUAAACCUUUGAGUGUAAUGUUUUGUGAUGUUAGAGUGGAAUUGUUUUCACCCGGGAAAAUACCUUUAUUGACCAAGGUCAUCAUAGCUGCUGUGUCAACAACUGCUGUUGUUUGAUGGCCAUGGACAACAAAAGGAAUCUCCAGAGUCAAACCUUUUGAAUUUUCAUUGACAUUGACUUGAAGAUUCUGACCUUUUUCUUCAUUAACCAGACUACGGUCAGCUAGACUGGUUACCUGGAGUUUAAAUUUUCUGAAGGAAUUGGGGAGUUAGCUGAGGAUUGUGAUAUUGUUGGAGUAGACCUAUAUGGACUUGGUGUUCUGUAUUUAAACUUGAAGGGAGAUGGAGAUCUAGAGUUGCUAAAUGUUUGAUUUGACUUGUUCUGUAUUGUUGAAUUUUGAGUGCUUUUGAAUGGACUGUUGGAUCUGAAGGGUUGACCAUAAUUUAUGGGACUGUUUGACCUUGACCUAGAUUGAAAUCUUGGUGCAUUUCUUAGAACCCCACCAUUGGAAAAUUUGUCAUCUAAUGUUUGCUUAAUACUGAAGACCAUAUCUGUAAGUUUUGAAAUUUUGUCUUCCAUUUGUUCUAACUUUUUGGUUUGUUGCAUUGUUGAUGGUUCAAAUGAAACUUGUCUGUGAUAAUAGGACUUGCUAGCACCAUAGACAGCUUGCUGGUUAGCAAUUGAAGUCCUCAUAAGGUCUAGAGCUUCAUGGAUGUCUUUGGGAUUCUUUUCCAUAACUGUCCUAGCAGCUUCUUUAUCUCUGCAUCCUCUAAGGAAAUUUUCUGUUGAAAUUUGGUUGACUGCUUUCUUGCCUGAUUCUUUGUAACCAUCAAUGGUGAUGAAGUGAACUCUUUGUGCAAACUGUUGGAGUGAUUCAUCCUCAUGUUGUUUCAUGUACUGCAGCUUGCGUCUAGCUGAGAUAGGGUUCUUUUUGGUAUUGAAUCUCCUGCUCAUUUCCUUCUUGAUCUUUUUGUAACUGUCUAGGUUAAGCUUACAGACAUAUUCUAAAGCUUGUCCAUCUAAGCUACUAAACAAUUUGUCAGUACGCUUCUUUUUUCCCCAAUCAUGCCUGUCAGCUACCCUUUCAAAUUGUGUGAUGAAUGUAUCCCAACUGAUUUUUCCGUCACCACUAAAUAUUUGUAAUUUUGACGUUGGACUGCGACUUUUUUGUCUGUGUCUGCGUCGGUGAUGGUGUCUGUCAUAGUCAGAGUCACUACUGGAGGAGGAAGAUGAUGAUGACCGUGAAGAUGAGGAGGAGGAGGAGGAUUGAUACCUUGUUUUUCUAUGAUAUUUCCUACCUCUUGUGUUUUCAUCAUAUGUGUUGUCAAACAUAUUUGAUUUUGAGUGAAUAUGUGUGUCUUUUGUAUCAUGUAUUUUGCUUUUUCUGUUUUGUUUUGUUUCUGAUUGUUUUCUGUCAGAUGGUUUUCUUGUGUAUAUGCUAUCUGCUGGCAUUGCACUUAACCAUUUUCUCUGUUGGGCUUCUUGUUCUAAUGCAAACUCUGCUUUCUUUCUUCUCUCUCUCUCAGCUUGCAAUUCCUCUUCCUGUCUCUCUAAUUUCACAUUCAACUCUCUCAUGCUAGUAUCAAGAUCUCUCAUAUCAUAGUACAAAUCUGACUGUAAGCUAGUAGCUCCCCCAAAGGAAACUAUUUGAUUUUCUUCCCAUUUUUUCCAUUGUUUUUCUGGUACAUCUGUAUAUUUACCAAGGAUAUUUGCAUUUAACUCGUAUCUUUUCCUAACCCCUAUUAUAUCAGUAAUGGUGCGAUGAUCUAGGAUCUUUGACAUUUCAAAUUCAGAAGCUGUUUACAUGUUGAUUGGAGCCAUUGUGAAAUCGGUAAUUUAUCAAAGGGGAAAAAAAAUACCACCAAGGAAAAGGAAACUAGUUGUGUAAACAACCAGUGAUUGUAAAAUGAAAUAAAUUGUGAAACCAAAUAUUCAGUAAAGAAAAAUAAUAAAUCGAA
Molecule: long non-coding RNA, 2860 nt
Organism: Saccostrea echinata
Lineage: Eukaryota; Metazoa; Mollusca; Bivalvia; Ostreida; Ostreidae
Exons: 2
Source: RefSeq, a predicted model, not a curated record